Molecule: ribosomal RNA, 571 nt
Filed under: Pseudoalteromonas sp. SYS5-03
Lineage: Bacteria; Pseudomonadati; Pseudomonadota; Gammaproteobacteria; Alteromonadales; Pseudoalteromonadaceae
Description: bacterial SSU rRNA
Rfam family: Bacterial small subunit ribosomal RNA
Source: RNAcentral
GGCCUAACACAUGCAWGUCGAGCGGUAACANAAAGUAGCUUUGCUACUUUGCUGACGAGCGGCGGACGGGUGAGUAAUGCUUGGGAAUAUGCCUUUUGGUGGGGGACAACAGUUGGAAACGACUGCUAAUACCGCAUAAUGUCUACGGACCAAAGUGGGGGACCUUCGGGCCUCACGCCAAAAGAUUAGCCCAAGUGGGAUUAGCUAGUUGGUAAGGUAAUGGCUUACCAAGGCAACGAUCCCUAGCUGGUUUGAGAGGAUGAUCAGCCACACUGGGACUGAGACACGGCCCAGACUCCUACGGGAGGCAGCAGUGGGGAAUAUUGCACAAUGGGCGCAAGCCUGAUGCAGCCAUGCCGCGUGUGUGAAGAAGGCCUUCGGGUUGUAAAGCACUUUCAGUAAGGAGGAAAGGGUAGUCUUUAAUAGAGGCUAUCUGUGACGUUACUUACAGAAGAAGCACCGGCUAACUCCGUGCCAGCAGCCGCGGUAAUACGGAGGGUGCGAGCGUUAAUCGGAAUUACUGGGCGUAAAGCGUACGCAGGCGGUUUGUUAAGCGAGAUGUGAAAGCCCC